GUCCACAGUGAUGAUCAGCUCCUUGAAAAGAUGUGAGGAUACUGGUGCAUAUUUCUUUAAAUUACUCAGUCAAUUUUAAAAGAGAAAUAUUGUUGCUAUUUUCAUCACUUUUCUUCAUAAGGGAUGCUUCUAUACUCAUAGCAUAAGGUGACUCAUCAAAACUUUGUCACAGUGAGUGGUCAGAAGGCAUACGCCAGAACUCCAGCAUUAUCCAACAGCUGUCACUUCCAUUUAAGGGACCAACGCAUUCUCUCAUGGACACUUCCUGGGGCAGCCUUUUGCAAAUUGCUCAUCUAACAAUCGAGAAAAUGAGGAAGGUGUUUACUUCAAAAUAAUCUUAGAAAUUGACAACAUGAAAUGAUUCAUUUCAUUGUGCUCAUAAAAGAUACUUUGUGAGGAUUCCUGGUCAAGAUGGCUGAAUAGGAGCAGCUCCAGUCUACAGCUCCCGGCAAGAUCAACACAGAAGGAAGAGAAGAAUAACUACAUAACCGAAGACUCAAUCAAUGGAGAAGAAAUCGACUUCACUAUGCGUGACAAACUUUGCUUGUGUUUUGCUUUUCCUGGUCAUCUUUCUUAACAAAACCUUUCCUACAUCCUUAUGCCUUUGUUUCAGAGAAUGGUAGUGUUUGCAUCUGAGGUAUAAGACAAUUCUUUGAGAUCUACUCUAGAGAUCUGCCCAUUUUUCUUGUUUCUAUCCCAUGUACAAAGGAGGUAUUUAUGUUAUUAAGCUUCUGUUUGUUUUUCUCUUGCUUUUUUUUUUUUAGACAG
Molecule: long non-coding RNA, 768 nt
Organism: Homo sapiens (human)
Lineage: Eukaryota; Metazoa; Chordata; Mammalia; Primates; Hominidae
Source: Ensembl